AAACAAAAGAUCAAUCUGAAAAAGUGAGAUGACUCAGUGGGUAAAAGCACUGGGAAUCCUGGUGGCCUGAGUUCAGUCCCUGGAACCAACAAGUCCAUAGGAGUUGUUCUUUGACCUCCCCAUAAUGCCCACCUGCACAUCUACACAUCUACACAGUGAUGUUAGGAUGUCAGAUGUUUCAGAGCAUAGGCUAUAGUUGAACAGAUAGAACUGCAAUAGAACCAGGUUUUUAAGAAGUAACUCAUACUGUGUUAAUAAAUUAAUUGUAAUGACAUUAACGUUGUCCUUGAUGAAACUUCAAAGUUAUGGAUAUUUCUUUUGAUUUCAGUAUUUUUGUCAGUAUAUAUUUCCAAAUUCCAGACUUGUGGAAGUACUUGGACCAUAAAGCUAAGGCCAUCUGAUAGGGACAGACUCUUAAAGGGUUCUAGGGCAGUGGACUGAAGUCUCGGAGCUCCUGCUGCAACUGUUUAAUGUGUCACUAUUAAAGGCUUUGCUAUCAGUGGCUUGUGGUAGAUACAGUAAAAUUUUAGGUUGGAGUAGCAUUAUCUAUAAGAGUAUGGGUGUUGUUAGAGGCAUUUGUAACUUGGGGUCAUUUUUUCCUCUUCCACUUCACCCCAAAACUAACAAAAACUCAAAACUAUACGAGAGUAAUUACAGUCCUUUACAUCAGCAUUAAUAUAGCCAAGUCUUCUAUUUGUUGUCAAAGUGAAUAGUAGCAUAUUUUACAAUCUCUCAGAACAUCCCAUAUAGGAGUCAAGCCACCUGUUGUGUGUGCUUUUGAGUGUCGUGUUGUAUGUGAGCAAAUUUAGGAUUGUUUUCAGUGACUGGGACGAGACAACAUGACUUGACGUUGGCUCAUAAGUGGAUCAGCCGUGCUCUUGCCAAUAGGGUCCUUGUUAUCAUAGCAAGUACCUUACACUCACUAAACAUGAAGGAUCAUCAGAAGUGACUUAGUCCCCAAAGAAAGUUAAUCAGAAACCCAGGAAAUUGCACAUCUAAGUCACUCUAGAUAAGCCCAGAGGAAAUUUGGAUACACAUCUUAUUAUUAUGCAACUUUAAUAAAACCUUCUUAGUAGUUAUAGUAGGCCCAGGGCCUAAGUGGGCAGUUGUUCCUAGCAUGUUUGGGCAGUAAGGUAUUUGGCUCAGAUUUUCUUAAGUUUCUUCUGUUGUUGUAAAAUACCAUGACCAAAAGCAACUCUGCCUUUGAGAGAGUUUAUUUCAGUCCAUUGUGAAGAGAUCUCAAGCAGCAUCUUGGAGCAGGAAGUGAAGCAGAGAUCAUGGAGAAUGCCAUUUACUCACUUGCUUCCCAUGAUUUGCUCAGGGGUGGUACCACCCACAGUGAGCUGGGCUCUUCCAUAUCAGUCAUCAGUCAAAAAAAAAAAAAGUCCACAGUUUGCCUGUGGGCCAGUCUGAUGACAUUUUCUCAGUUGUUUCUCAGUUGGGUUUCUUCCUUCUUAGAGGACCCUGUCUUGUGUCAAGUUGUCAAAAAUCUAACCAACAUACUUUCUUUUUUUUAAUAUAUCAUUGUUAUUGGGUAGGGGACAGUGCAUGUGUAGAGUUCAGAGGAGUUGGCUUUUCUCCUUUCACUGAGUUCUGAGGACCAAACGUGGGUUACCGGCUUGUAAGCCCCUUUUCCUGCUGAGCCCUUUUAGUUGUUCUUGUCUCUGUUUCCUGCCCCUCAUGUCAAGUCUUCUGAAGCCCAUGUUGGCCGUAAGCUUGCUGUGCAGUUGAGGAUGGCCUGGAACUGUGAUCCUUCUCCUUCUCAGGUGCACAGCCCUCCCAGUUGAUGUGGGCUGCCAGCUGAGAUACUUUGCCAGCCCUGUCACAUGACCACUUUGAAAAACAUCACUUUCUCAUAUCUUUGGAGAGCAGUGUUCAGUCAGAAGCUCCCGAAAUGGUUGUUCACAGUCCCCAGCACCGCUGAAAUGGAGCAAGAUGACCUGUGCCUGUGACCUCAGCACUCUGCAAGUGGAGGCAGGAAAACCAGGAGUUCAGCACAGCCUCAGCGCCAUAAUGAACUUGGGCUAUGGGAUCCUGUCUUCAAAUAAGGAAAUAAACCACGUUUGGAAGUUGAGUUUUCUAUCAAAUCUAGGAUGAAGUUAUGUGUAGAAUGUGUAAGACAUUGCUUUACUUUUUAUCAACAAUAGAACAAAGUUUUUGUGAACAAGCAGAAAGUGUCCCUUGACUGUAUACUUGAAAAUACUCCAAAGUGUUGAGCCGUUGCCAGGAUGCAGAUACGCACUGAAGCCAGCACAGACGUGGUUGGGGAAAGUAGCACGUUUCAGAGAUGUUGGAGAACUGGCUAGGUGGCAGGCCAGCAUUUCUUACAGAAGAGCUCUGUGGUGAAGAGGGGUUUUCUGACUUGUUGGCAGCAAUCUGAACUUGGCAGUUAAAAGUCUGUGUUGUUAGGGAUAGCUGCCUGCCAUAUGUUGAAAGGAAAGAUAAGGUUUUGGAACUUAAAGCAUUUAAGACGAACAUUAGUCCCACUGGAGAGUCUUCAAGUUAAUGCCAGAUCUUCAAGUCCUUUGUGUAAAACGUUGGUGUCGGUGAUAUCUUGACCUCACCAGAACUGAGAGAUGGAAUGAGAUGUUUGCUCCUAACUACUUCCUAAUUGCUAUAAAAAAUGAAAUAAUGUGCCUCACUGCUACUCCUCUUGGCCAUGAGAAAGUCUGUGUCUGUUCUAGCUCCCUUUCUGUUUUUACCAUACAAACUCCCCCGAAGGAGGAACUGGUGGACAGCUGUGAGCAGCGCUGGCUGGAACCCAGAGCAGCAUGUCAUUGUCACCCAGCCAUUUCUGACUCCUUAACUCCAGUAACAGAAGCAAAGUCCAUUUCCCCUCUAGAAGAAGCUUGCUUAAAACCUGCAGUCAGUCCUCAACAGAAAUGGUGCCAGUGUUUUUCAAACCCAAAUUCUACCUUCUCAGAAACUUAUUUUCUCUGUAGACAGAAAAGAAGCAAGAAUUAUUUGUUAAUUUAUUAUACAGCGAGCAUGCCAAGGUUCAUACAUAGCCAUCUUAUCUGGGUUCAGAAUGAGUCCAGUGUUUUAUUAGUUGUGAGGACUUGGGAAAUUUCUAUUGUACUUGUUAAUGUGAGUUGUAUACAUUGUUAUACAUUCAGAGGAGUAUCUCAAAAUUGAAUCACCAUAUAAAACAAACACACACCUGUCCCCUACAGAAUGUCCAUGGUUCUGUAAGUUCCUCUACAUAUCCUUCCUCAUUUCCAUGUCUUCCUGAAGCUCCCUGCUGUCCUGACAUUGAUGGAAGCCCUUCCCCUGAGUUUCUCUAUCAUUGUGCCAUUUUAUAUAUUCUCAACAAUAUGUACUUAAUUUUGAACGACUAAACAGAAGCCUGGUCAUAUGGAGAAAGCAAUAGUCUCCCUGGAGACUCAUGUGAACAGUCUCUGGGCAGGUCAGGUUUCUGCUUUUCUAAAAGCCUAUAAAUGCCUCUUCCAGGGAAGUCAUUGGGAAGGUCAGAGGUUAAUCCUGAGACGCAUAGGGAUCAGUAUAUUUGGGGAACCUGUGACUAAAUAUAGGCUCACUAUGGCCUCCCUCCUACAUUUAAGAAAAUGCUUCACUACAUGGCCAAGGGUCGUAGGCUCUGCCAGCCAAAGCCCAAGGCUCAAACCAAGGCAGAGGCCUCAGCUCCAGCUCAGGCUCCCAAAGGUGCCCAGGCCCCUGUGAAGGCCCCAUAGAAAAGGUUUCUGUCUGCCAGACAGAUGGACUGGUGUGACACACCUACACACUAUAUGCAGAUGAUCAGGACCCCAUGCUGUUUUUACAAAUAAACUUGAGGCAGGAUC
Long non-coding RNA from Peromyscus californicus insignis, 3797 nucleotides. RefSeq lists it as uncharacterized. The transcript is spliced from 2 exons. Lineage: Eukaryota; Metazoa; Chordata; Mammalia; Rodentia; Cricetidae. The record is from RefSeq and is a predicted model, not a curated record.